GAUGAACGCUGGCUACAGGCUUAACACAUGCAAGUCGAGGGGAAACGACGGGGAAGCUUGCUUCCCCGGGCGUCGACCGGCGCACGGGUGAGUAACGCGUAUCCAACCUGCCUCUGACUGAGGGAUAACCCGUCGAAAGUCGGCCUAAUACCUCAUGGCAUCGUCUGCGGGCAUCCAACGACGAUUAAAGAUUUCAUCGGUCAGGGAUGGGGAUGCGUCUGAUUAGCUUGUUGGCGGGGUAACGGCCCACCAAGGCUACGAUCAGUAGGGGUUCUGAGAGGAAGGUCCCCCACAUUGGAACUGAGACACGGUCCAAACUCCUACGGGAGGCAGCAGUGAGGAAUAUUGGUCAAUGGGCGGGAGCCUGAACCAGCCAAGUAGCGUGCAGGAUGACGGCCCUAUGGGUUGUAAACUGCUUUUAUGCGGGGAUAAAGUGAGGGACGUGUUCUUCAUUGCAGGUACCGCAUGAAUAAGGACCGGCUAAUUCCGUG
RNAcentral lists this ribosomal RNA (491 nucleotides) under uncultured bacterium. RNAcentral describes it as "partial 16S ribosomal RNA". It matches the Rfam family "Bacterial small subunit ribosomal RNA", at positions 28 to 507 of the family's 1533-position model. The record is from RNAcentral.